GCCAAAUGAAAAUAUAACACCUGAAAUGACUUUGUAUUACCUUGCAUUACUUAAACAUUAAGCAAGCCAACUAUAACUGUAAGCUUGUAAUGAACACGAUGUGAGACAGAGAGCUGGUUUCAAGCGCAGGGCGCUGCAGGUGUUUAUUGGAAAAGGACCACAGGAGGCAGGCAGAAGGUCAUACACAGGAGGAGGCAGGUAGCUGGGUCCAGGGGCAGGCAGAAGGUCAUACACAGGAGGAGGCAGGUAGCUGGGUCCAGGGGCAGGCAGAAGGUCAUACACAGGAGGAGGCAGGUAGCUGGGUCCAGGGGCAGGCAGAAGGUCAUACACAGGAGGAGGCAGGUAGCUGGGUCCAGGGGCAGGCAGAAGGUCAUACACAGGAGGAGGCAGGUAGCUGGGUCCAGGGGCAGGCAGAAGGUCAUACACAGGAGGAGACAGGUAGCUGGGUCCAGGAGCAGGCAGAAGGUCAUACACAGGAGGAGGAAGGUAGCUGGGUCCAGGGGCAGGCAGAAGGUCAUACACAGGGGGCCAAAAAAAGGCUACAGUACAGGCAGGGAAAGGCUAGUAACGUCAUCCGGGAGAUCAUGCAAUAGGUUGAUAACAGGAAAUCCGAUAGGCUGAAGUACCGGCAGGGAAGAGGCAAAAGGCGUCGUUAGCGAGGCAGGCCAAAACUAUCCUACACAGGAGGAUUAAAUUAUGGGAAAAGCAGCGCUCCAAAUAGAA
Molecule: long non-coding RNA, 723 nt
Organism: Oncorhynchus tshawytscha (Chinook salmon)
Lineage: Eukaryota; Metazoa; Chordata; Actinopteri; Salmoniformes; Salmonidae
Source: Ensembl